CAGUAGCCGCGGUAAUACGUAGGUGGCAAGCGUUGUCCGGAAUUAUUGGGCGUAAAGGGCUCGCAGGCGGUUUCUUAAGUCUGAUGUGAAAGCCCCCGGCUCAACCGGGGAGGGUCAUUGGAAACUGGGAAACUUGAGUGCAGAGGAGGAGAGUGGAAUUCCACGUGUAGCGGUGAAAUGCGUAGAGAUGUGUAGGAACACCAGUGGCGAAGGCGACUCUCUGGUCUGUAACUGACGCUGAGGAGCGAAAGCGUGGGGAGCGAACAGGAUUAGAUACCCCGGUAGUCCCUGUCUCUUAUAC
This 301-nucleotide ribosomal RNA is filed under the name uncultured bacterium. RNAcentral's name for it is "partial 16S ribosomal RNA". It matches the Rfam family "Bacterial small subunit ribosomal RNA", at positions 509 to 807 of the family's 1533-position model. The record is from RNAcentral.